This is a long non-coding RNA of Puntigrus tetrazona (Sumatra barb), 404 nucleotides long. RefSeq lists it as uncharacterized. The record is from RefSeq and is a predicted model, not a curated record. Lineage: Eukaryota; Metazoa; Chordata; Actinopteri; Cypriniformes; Cyprinidae. The transcript has 2 exons.
GGGCGAUUGUGAUGAAUCUGUGAGGAGAUAUGUUUACAACCCCAGGACUGGGAGAUGCCAGAUGUUUCGUUACAGCGGCUGCGGAGGCAACAAAAACAACUUUGUCCACAAAAGACACUGCAUGAAAAUGUGCACGAAAGAUCACAGCCGGAGGAAGCAAAUACGGAUAAAGACAAAAAACUCUAAUAUCUUAUUCCGAUCUAUCUAGGACAAUACCAAAUCCUAAACCACUAUAUAAAGAGGAAAUAAGAAAAAAUAAGAAACAGCAGCAUAUAGUACCUCUCUGGCCCAGAAACUGUUCUCAUGUAUAUAAUUAUCACAGUUAAUGGAAUUUUAAUCUGGCCUUCAUAUAUAUAUAUAUAUAUAUAUAUAUAUAAGACAUAUCUACAUAUAUAUAUAUAUAA